UUCCGNGUCAGGCAAGAUGGUUAGCUAGGAGU
Molecule: non-coding RNA, 32 nt
Filed under: Rattus norvegicus (Norway rat)
Lineage: Eukaryota; Metazoa; Chordata; Mammalia; Rodentia; Muridae
Source: RNAcentral